This is a long non-coding RNA of Papaver somniferum (opium poppy), 583 nucleotides long. RefSeq lists it as uncharacterized. The record is from RefSeq and is a predicted model, not a curated record. NCBI's taxonomy places the organism in Eukaryota, Viridiplantae, Streptophyta, Magnoliopsida, Ranunculales, Papaveraceae. The transcript has 2 exons.
GGGGGGGAUAUAUCACUGUUUUAAUUUGAGGUGAUCGGAAAUCUUAGAUCUUCAUUUUAAGAAAUAUGGAGGGAAAUGGAAAGAGUCUUAUGAGAAUAAUAUCAGUGAUGUUAAUAGUGGGAAUGUUUAUGGGACAAAUUUCAGCAGAUUCUGUAUCAGAUUAUCUAGCUUGUUUUAAACCAUGUUAUUAUAAUUGUAUGAACCCAAACCCUGAGGAUAAAAAGCUUUCUGAUACAUGUCUUAAUAUUUGUGGUCUCGCGUGCAUUAAAAAAUCACCACUGGAUAAUAGCCACCGUAAGACCCUUGCUAAUUGAAAGAAAGAGGUUUACCGACUCAGGAAUAAUACUGCUUCCUGACCUGCUAAAGAAAAGUUAUCCAGAUAACUCAUAUUAGUUAUUAUAUAAUAAAAUGAAUAAUUUCAAGAAGAAAUGGUUGUAUCAAGUUCAAGAACUGUUAUGAAAUCUCAAAUUUAUCACAUAAUAUCAUGUGAAGAUAAUCUUUAAGGUUAUAUGAAAGGAAGAAUUUUAUUACUAUAUAUUUUAGUUGAUUAAUAUCUUGCAAGCAAUCAAAUUAAUAUGCUAAA